UACGUAGGGGUGCAAGCGUUUGUCCGGAAUUAUUGGGCGUAAAGGGCUCGUAGGCGGUCCAUCGCGUCGGGAGUGAAAAGCUGGGGCUCAACCCCAGUCCUGCUUCCGAUACGGGUGGACUAGAGGUAUGCAGGGGAGAACGGAAUUCCUGGAUGUAGCGGUGAAAUGACGCAGAUAUCAGGAGGAACACCGGUGGCGAAGGCGGAUCUCUGGGCCUUACCUGACGCUGAGGCGCGAAAGCUAGGGGAGCGAACGGG
This 257-nucleotide ribosomal RNA is filed under the name uncultured bacterium. RNAcentral describes it as "partial 16S ribosomal RNA". It matches the Rfam family "Bacterial small subunit ribosomal RNA", at positions 524 to 776 of the family's 1533-position model. The record is from RNAcentral.